RNAcentral lists this ribosomal RNA (758 nucleotides) under Neolophiostoma pigmentatum. RNAcentral describes it as "eukaryotic LSU rRNA". It matches the Rfam family "Eukaryotic large subunit ribosomal RNA", at positions 100 to 874 of the family's 3401-position model. The record is from RNAcentral. Lineage: Eukaryota; Fungi; Ascomycota; Dothideomycetes; Pleosporales; Halotthiaceae.
GGCAACAGCUCAAAUUUGAAAUCUGGCUUCUUCGGGGCCCGAGUUGUAAUUUGCAGAGGGUGCUUUGGCGAUGGCCGCGGCCUAGGUUCCUUGGAACAGGACGUCGCAGAGGGUGAGAACCCCGUACGCGGCCGCGCGCCUCCGCCGUGUAAAGCCCCUUCGACGAGUCGAGUUGUUUGGGAAUGCAGCUCUAAAUGGGAGGUAAAUUUCUUCUAAAGCUAAAUACCGGGCGUACACCGAUAGCGCACAAGUAGAAUGAUCGAAAGAUGAAAAGCACUUUGGAAAGAGAGUCAAACAGCACGUGAAAUUGUUGAUAGGGAAGCGCUUGCCGCCAGACGCGCCCGCAGUUGCUCAGCCGAGCCCUCGCUCGGCGCACUCUUCUGCGGGCGGGCCAGCAUCAGUUCGGGCGGCGGGAGAAAGGCCCGCGGCACGUACCACCCCUUCGGGGGAGGACUUAUAGGGUGGGCGUCCUACCGCCAGCCCGGACUGAGGACCGCGCAUAUGCUAGGAUGCUGGCGUAAUGGCUGCAAGCGGCCCGUCUUGAAACACGGACCAAGGAGUCUAACAUCUAUGCGAGUGUUUGGGUGUCAAGCCCGGGCGCGCAAUGAAAGUGAACGGAGGUGGGAGCCCCUCGGGGCGCACCAUCGACCGAUCCUGAUGUCUUCGGAUGGAUUUGAGUACGAGCAUAGCUGUUGGGACCCGAAAGAUGGUGAACUAUGCCUGAAUAGGGUGAAGCCAGGAGAAAUUCUGGUGGAGGC